This 158-nucleotide ribosomal RNA is filed under the name Heterodermia speciosa. Its description in RNAcentral is "5.8S ribosomal RNA". It matches the Rfam family "5.8S ribosomal RNA". Rfam says of the family: 5.8S ribosomal RNA (5.8S rRNA) is a component of the large subunit of the eukaryotic ribosome. It is transcribed by RNA polymerase I as part of the 45S precursor that also contains 18S and 28S rRNA. Functionally, it is thought that 5.8S rRNA may be involved in ribosome translocation. The record is from RNAcentral. Lineage: Eukaryota; Fungi; Ascomycota; Lecanoromycetes; Caliciales; Physciaceae.
AAAACUUUCAACAACGGAUCUCUUGGUUCUGGCAUCGAUGAAGAACGCAGCGAAAUGCGAUAAGUAAUGUGAAUUGCAGAAUUCCGUGAAUCAUCGAAUUUUUGAACGCACAUUGCGCCCUUUGGUAUUCCGAAGGGCAUGCCUGUUCGAGCGUCAUU